AGGAAUAUUGGUCAAUGGACGAGAGUCUGAACCAGCCAAGUAGCGUGAAGGAUGACUGCCCUAUGGGUUGUAAACUUCUUUUAUACGGGAAUAAAGUGAGGUACGUGUGCCUUUUUGUAUGUACCGUAUGAAUAAGGAUCGGCUAACUCCGUGCCAGCAGCCGCGGUAAUACGGAGGAUCCGAGCGUUAUCCGGAUUUAUUGGGUUUAAAGGGAGCGUAGGCGGACGCUUAAGUCAGUUGUGAAAGUUUGCGGCUCAACCGUAAAAUUGCAGUUGAUACUGGGUGUCUUGAGUACAGUAGGGGCAGGCGGAAUUCGUGGUGUAGCGGUGAAAUGCUUAGAUAUCACGAAGAACUCCGAUUGCGAAGGCAGCCUGCUGGACUGUAACUGACGCUGAUGCUCGAAAGUGUGGGUAUCAAACAGGAUUAGAUACCCUGGUAGUCCACACAGUAAACGAUGAAUACUCGCUGUUUGCGAUAUACAGUAAGCGGCCAAGCGAAAGCGUUAAGUAUUCCACCUGGGGAGUACGCCGGCAACGGUGAAACUCAAAGGAAUUGACGGGGGCCCGCACAAGCGGAGGAACAUGUGGUUUAAUUCGAUGAUACGCGAGGAACCUUACCCGGGCUUGAAUUGCAACUGAAUGAUGUGAAGACAUGUCAGCCGCAAGGCAGUUGUGAAGGUGCUGCAUGGUUGUCGUCAGCUCGUGCCGUGAGGUGUCGGCUUAAGUGCCAUAACGAGCGCAACCCUUAUCGAUAGUUACCAUCAGGUUAUGCUGGGGACUCUGUCGAGACUGCCGUCGUAAGAUGUGAGGAAGGUGGGGAUGACGUCAAAUCAGCACGGCCCUUACGUCCGGGGCUACACACGUGUUACAAUGGGGGGUACAGAAGGCAGCUACACGGCGACGUGAUGCUAAUCCCGAAAGCCUCUCUCAGUUCGGAUUGGAGUCUGCAACCCGACUCCAUGAAGCUGGAUUCGCUAGUAAUCGCGCAUCAGCCACGGCGCGGUGAAUACGUUCCCG
RNAcentral lists this ribosomal RNA (1016 nucleotides) under uncultured bacterium. RNAcentral describes it as "bacterial SSU rRNA". It matches the Rfam family "Bacterial small subunit ribosomal RNA", at positions 357 to 1376 of the family's 1533-position model. The record is from RNAcentral.